GAUGAACGCUGGCGGCGUGCCUAAUACAUGCAAGUCGAGCGAACAGACGAGGGGCUUCCUCCUCUGACGUUAGCGGCGGACGGGUGAGUAACACGUGGAUACCCUACCUAUAAGACUGGGAUAACUUCGGGAAACCGUAGCUAAUUCCGUAUAAUAUAUUUAACCGCAUGGUUCAAUAGUGAAAGACUGUUUUUCUGUCACUUAUAGAUGGCUCCGCGCCGCAUUAGCUAGUUGGUAAGGUAACGGCCUACCAAGGCAAGGAUGCGUAGCCGACCUGACGGGGUGAUCGGCCACACUGGAGGUGGGACAGCGUCCCGACUCCUGCGACAGGCAGCAGUAGCGAAUGUUCCGCAGUAGGCGAGAGUCUGACGGAGCGACGCCGCGUGAGUGAUGAAGGUCUUCGGAUAGUGAUGCUCUGUUAUUGGGGGAGAACAACUGUCUGCGUAGAUAUGGACGUAUUGACGGUACCUAAUCAGAAAGCACCGGCUAACUACGUG
Molecule: ribosomal RNA, 497 nt
Filed under: uncultured bacterium
Lineage: Bacteria
Description: partial 16S ribosomal RNA
Rfam family: Bacterial small subunit ribosomal RNA
Source: RNAcentral